GACGAACGCUGGCGGCGUGCCUAAUACAUGCAAGUCGAACGGAGUGGCGCACGGGUGCGUAAUGUAUAGCUAAUCUCCCCUACAAUAGAGGACAACAGUUGGAAACGGCUGCUAAUACUCUAUAGUGUAGGAUGAGGCUAUAUUGUAUCAGCUAGUUGGUGAGGUAAUGGCUCACCAAGGCUAUGACGAAUAACUGGUCUGAGAGGAUGAUCAGUCACACUGGAAAUGAGACACGGUCCAGACUCCUACGGGAGGCAGCAGUAGGGAAUAGUGCUCAACGGGGGAAACCCUGAAGCAGCAACGCCGCGUGGAGGACGACACUUUUCGGAGCGUAAACUCCGUUUGUUAGGGAAGCGGUACCUAACGAAUAAGCACCGGCUAACUCCGUGCCAGCAGCCGCGGUAAUAC
This 408-nucleotide ribosomal RNA is filed under the name uncultured bacterium. RNAcentral describes it as "partial 16S ribosomal RNA". It matches the Rfam family "Bacterial small subunit ribosomal RNA", at positions 28 to 526 of the family's 1533-position model. The record is from RNAcentral.